This 212-nucleotide long non-coding RNA is filed under the name Carica papaya (papaya). RNAcentral's name for it is "long non-coding RNA (CPAP_LNC006660)". The record is from RNAcentral. Lineage: Eukaryota; Viridiplantae; Streptophyta; Magnoliopsida; Brassicales; Caricaceae.
GCAUCGGAGCCCUUUCUGAUGGCCAAAAAGGGUAAAAAUUUCUUCUUUUGCUCAGAAUUCAAAUCUAGACACACCCAUGGCUAAAUCGAAGCAAAAGGACCGGCUAAUUGGUCAAAAAAUAUAGGCGAAGCCCGGCAGCACUGUCAUGGGGAAUUUCACAAAACACCUCCGAUGGGGCCCUUCCUGAUUCCUGUUCUGUAUAAUUUUUCCAC